Molecule: small nucleolar RNA, 65 nt
Organism: Capra hircus (goat)
Lineage: Eukaryota; Metazoa; Chordata; Mammalia; Artiodactyla; Bovidae
Gene: SNORD58
Rfam family: Small nucleolar RNA SNORD58
About the family: snoRNA U58 is found in introns 1, 3 and 6 of the ribosomal protein RPL17 gene in humans.
Source: Ensembl
UUGCUGUGAUGACAGUCUUUGGGACACCUUUGGAUUAACCAUGAAAAAAGCAUGUUUUGAACAAC